This 402-nucleotide ribosomal RNA is filed under the name uncultured bacterium. Its description in RNAcentral is "bacterial SSU rRNA". It matches the Rfam family "Bacterial small subunit ribosomal RNA", at positions 28 to 430 of the family's 1533-position model. The record is from RNAcentral.
GAUGAACGCUAGCGGCAGGCUUAAUACAUGCAAGUCGAACGGCAGCACGGGUGCUUGCACCUGGUGGCGAGUGGCGAACGGGUGAGUAAUGCACCGGAACGUAUCCAAUAAUGGGGGAUAACGCACCGAAAGGUGUGCUAAUACCGCAUACGCCCUGAGGGGGAAAGCGGGGGAUCGUAAGACCUCGCGUUAAUGGAGCGGCCGAUGCCGGAUUAGCUAGUUGGUGAGGUAAAGGCUCACCAAGGCGACGAUCCGUAGCUGGUCUGAGAGGACGACCAGCCACACUGGAACUGAGACACGGUCCAGACUCCUACGGGAGGCAGCAGUGGGGAAUUUUGGACAAUGGGCGCAAGCCUGAUCCAGCCAUUCCGCGUGAGUGAAGAAGGCCUUCGGGUUGUAAAG